Molecule: long non-coding RNA, 1481 nt
Filed under: Sus scrofa (pig)
Lineage: Eukaryota; Metazoa; Chordata; Mammalia; Artiodactyla; Suidae
Description: lncRNA (ENSSSCG00045017308.1)
Source: RNAcentral
AAUAAGCAUCUUAUGUUCUUACUAGAAUGUGAUAAACUACAAGCAUUUCCUAAGACACCCUUCUUCUGACACCAAAGCUAUUUACUCAACGAAAGACUAAUAAAUCUAUUUUAUUCCUUCCAGCUACUCCUAGAUUGAUCAGGAAAUUAAUUCUCUGGUAAAUUUGAUAUAAAGGUAACUCCAGAUAUAAAGGCCUGCAAAAACUGUACAGUAAUUCUAAUUUAAGUAGCUCCAAAAACUAUACCCAACUAGCUAAACGUCAUGUGCCAACUAACAAGUAUCAAGAUACAUCAUUCAUUGUCUCUUCGGAAUAUCCUAUCACCUGAGAUACACACAAACUAACGGGUGACCUCUUGUUGCAACACCUGCUUCACCCAUCCUCUUCACCCCUGGGCAUUUUCUCCGAAUAUCUACACUCUGCUCUGUUCCCUUAUCUAGAGUAGUAAUGGCUCUUAUUAACAUUAUUGCUUUUACUCACAUGAAUUAUUUCAUAUAAUCCUAAAACAGCUCUGUGAAGUGGGCAUUUUAAUCCCCACUUUCCAAAACAGAAAACCAAAGCACAUGGCACUUAAGUGACUUAGCCAAGGUCACUAAGCUGAUAAAAGGCAGAACUAAGACAAGAACUAAAAUGUCAGAUCCAUGCACUUAUUUCUAUCUCUGUAUGCUCUACAAAAACUAAAAGGCAGGAGGAAGGGAGAUCUACUCAGUCGUAAAGGAAUCCAAAAUUCAAAGACAGCAGACUAUUUUGAAUUGCAUGUAAUUUACUCCUCGAUCUAUGAAUGAACCACCCUUCUCAAGUGAUUCCUGCAAAAUCUAAGCCCUACUUCUCUCAUUUUACCCUACCUUUCCUUCUCUUCAACUCUGCAACACACACACACACACACACACACCAAUUACCCAUGAUCCAGGAACUUAGGUUUGGAGGAACUGAGGUGGACCUCUGGAAGAAAUCACAGGUAUUUUUUACAUCCGUGAGUGCUGGCUGCUGUUCCUGUACCACAGUCCCACCACCUAUGACCCAUUAGCCCACUGACCGCACAUCCAAAGUCUAUGUUGGCCCCACCACUGAGAACACCAGUGAAUGAGCAGAAAGGCAAGAAAGGCAUUUUCUGGUCUAGAUUGAAUUUUAUAAAACAGGAGAGAGAAACUGAGGCUACUAACAAAAAUUGGAUUUAAUGUGUUUCAUUCACUCUUCUUCCUUGGAUCCCUAUGUUGCUGGAUUUUGUGAACACAAUGAAUGCGGGAAAGCAUUUCGAUUCCUUGAUCUUGUGAUCAUUCCUGGGGGGGAAAAAAAUCCUUGAACACAGCAACAACCAAAAAAAAAGAAAAAGAAAAAAAGAAAGAAAGAAAGAUAAAGAAAAACCCUCUCACCUGCUACUUCAGAUGUUUUUAAAAUGGGAAUAGAAAAACCUCGUCCUUUUUUCCAAGGGUCUAGUGCCUGUACCACAUUGUCUCUCAUCUGUCAGUGUAUCCACACACAU